UCUGCCAUUAGCUGCCGCCCACAGGCCCCCGCUUCAUUUUCCAACGCCUCUUUCACGGUGCCCCUAAGAACCCCGGCCUCUCCCCGCCCCGCCGCUUCCCAUUGGCCGUCCAACGCAGCCCACGCCCUUGAUUGGUGUGGCUACAAGACCGACCGGCGUUGAUUGACAGGCUCCCCGCAGCGGUGGCCGCAGAGGGGCGAGCCAGCUCGGAUUUUUCAUUCCCAAGGAGUGUCGAAUGGAGGAGGAGGAAAAGCCCCAGAGAUCCCGCCCGAGGAGGGGCUGCAAACCCAGCGCAGGGAGCUGUGAGGAGGAAAGACCCCCCCUGUGCCAGGAGGGCGGCUGGAGAUGCAGGCAGAGCUCAGAGCUGGGGGAGAAGCCUGAUGGGGGGGAGAAGCCCCACAAGUGCCUGGAAUGUGGGAAGGGCUUCAGAUACAGGUCCGACCUGAUCUGGCACCAGGUGAUCCACAGUGGGGAAAGGCCCUACACCUGCUUGUAAUAUGGGAGGAGCUUUGGGUGGAGCUGCAACCUGAGAAAACACCAGAGCAUCCACACCGGGGAGAGGCCCUAGGAGUGUCCUGAGUGUGGGAAGAGCUUCUCCAGUAGCUCUGACUUGACCAAACACCAACAGAGACACCACUAAGGGUGGUGAGUGCCCCGAGAGCAGGAAGAGCUCCGUGCGCUGCUCCAGCUCUAUCCCCCAUGGGAGGAUCGGUGUUGGAUGAUCCCCAUGAUCCCCGUUGGGCAGAGCCUUGGUGAUCCGUGGUCCUGGUGAUCCCUGUUGGGAAGACACCUGGGUGUGGGGGCUCCACAUCUUCCUGUCUCCCUUGGGCUCCUGGAUAAACACAGGGGCAGGAGUAUCCUGGUGUCUCUGCAGGACUCCCAGGGGCACCAAGUUGGAACAGCAGGAACAAGCAGAAAUUCCAGGCUGGUGGAUGAGAUGUAUCAAAAACUCUGCAGUGGUAUCUGGAACUGUGGCUGGAACUGUGGGACAUCCAGGCAGGACAGGGGGUGUGGGGCUACAGCGUAGCAGAACACCGAGAGCAGUGCACAAGAAGCGGUGGGGGCUCCAGCAGGGGCAGGAGAAGGCAGGCUCAGGAUUCCUGGACACAGGAGCAGAUGGUGGUUGAUUUCCUAGGACUGGACUCCAGUGGUGACAGGGAAUUCUCCCCACAAUAAGCAUCAACUUGAUUCUCCUCCUUCUGAUGCCAAGAGCAAGAGAGAGCUGCUGCCCCCAGCCCUGUCCUUUACCUGCCCCCAAAACCUGCAGUUUCUUCCCCCUGUGAGAGAAAACUCCCAGAGACAAAAGAAGUGUAGCCAGGUGCUACAGUCCUCUCCUGUGGCAACUUCCUUUACUUUUUGCUUAAGUACCCAUAAGUACUAUAUGGAGCAGUUUAUAUUGAGUAUUAUCAUGCAGCACUUACAGGAUGGCCAGGGUAUCAGACCCAGCCAGCAUGGGUUUAGGAGGGGUAGGUCAUGUUUGACCAACCUGGGCUCCUUUUAUGACCAAGUGACCCAGCUGGUGGACGCAGGAAAGGCUGCGGAUGUUGUCUAUUUGAAUUUCAGCAAGGCCUCUGACACUGUCUCCCGCAACAUACUCCUGGAACAGCUGGCAGCCCAUGACUUGGACAAGAGCACUCUGUGCUGGGUUAGGAACUGGCUGCAUGACCGGGCCCAGAGAGUGGUGGUGAUGGUGCUGCAUGCAGCUGGUGGCCAGUCAGCAGUGGUGUUCCUCAGGGGUCUGUGCUGGCGCCAGUUCUGUUUAAUAUUUUUAUUGAUGACAUGGACAAGGGUAUUGAAUCUUUCAUUAGUAAGUUUGCAGACAACACUAAGCUGGGAGCGUGUGUUGACCUGUUGGAAGGGAAGAGGGCUGUGCAGAGAGACCUGGAGUGGUUGGAUGGAUGGGUGGAAUCCAAUAAGAUGAGUUUAAUAAGUUCAAGUGCUGAGUCCUGCAUUUUGGCUACAAUCAUCCCCUGCAACAUUAUAGGCUGGGCAUGGUGUGGCUGGACAGUGCUCAGGCAGAAAGGGACCUGGGGGUGCUGGUGGCAGCAACUGAACAGGAGCCAGCAGUGUGCCCUGGUGGCCAAGAAGGCCAAUGGCACCUGGCCUGGAUCAGGAAUGGUGUGGCCAGCAGGAGCAGGGAGGUCAUUCUUCCCCUGUACUGGGCACUGGUUCAGCCACACCUCGAGUGCUGUGUCCAGUUCUGGCCCUUCAGUUUAGGAAGGACGUUGGGACGCUUGAGGAGGAGGCAACGUCCAGAGGAGGCAAUGAAGCUGGUGAGGGGCUUGGAACACAAGCCCUAUGAGAAACAGCUGAGAGAACUGGGGUUGUUUGGCCUGGAGGAGACUCAGAGGUGACGUUAUUAUGCUCUACAGCUUCCUGAAAGGUGGUUGUAGUCAGGUGGGGGUCGGUCUCUUCGGACAACACCUGACAGAAUGAGAGGGGACAGUCUCAAGCUGCGUCAAGGAAAAUAUAAGUUGGAUAUUAGGAAGAAGUUUUUCACAGAGAGAGUAAUAAAGUACUGGAAUAGCCUGCCUGGGGAGGUGGUGGAGUCGCCAUCCCUGGAUGUAUUUAAAAAAAGAAUGGAUGUGGCACUCGGUGCCAUGGUUUAGUUGAGGUGUUACAGCACGGGUUGGACUCGACGAUCAGGAAGGUCUCUUCCAACCAACUAAUUCUGUGUGAUUCUGUGUGAUACCCAGUAGUUAAUUUCCUAGCAACUUAUGGAAAAAAACCGUAUGAGUAAAAAAGAAACAAAUCUAACCCCCAGAUCAUGAAACCCUCAGCCAGGCCAGACACAGAAAUCCUUUUCUCUUGACCUUGAUUUGCUUUUUAUUUUCUCUUCAUCUGAAAACACCUGAUGUUUGGGGUCAAAAUAAAGACAUUGAACUAAGACAUGGGUGAAGACAUGGGGGGGGACAUGGACAUGGUGAGACAAACAUGGAGAGUGACAUGGGGACACAUGGACAUUGAGGGGAUGUGGCCAUUUAUGGGGAUAUGGGGGGACACGAGCACAGAUGGGGGACAAUGACAGGGAUGGAAACGUGGUGAGGAGACAGCCCUGGGUGAGGACAUGGUGGGACAUGGCCAGUGACAUGUGGAGACAUGGCCAUGGCCGGUGCCAUGGGGGGAACUUGCAGGGGUUGUGGGGGAUACUGAGUUUGAGGGAGUUGAGGGUUCCUGGGAGGGACUUGGGCCUUGCUGAGGGCUUUGGGGACCCCAGGCCCAGCGGCUCCGGCUGCGCUGGGAGACCCUGGCGGAGGUUGUGGGGCAGCUGCUCAAGGACCUCCUGACCUGGACCUCCCUCUGGGCAUUGCGGUCCUGGAAGGGAAGGAAGGUCCUUGUCUCCAGGAGGGAAAUCCCAGCAGCCCCAGGGUGUUGGGGGCAGCUGAGAGGCCACAACAGGGAGGGAAAAGCCAGACAGAGCUGUCCCCCUACAGAACUGCACCCCAAAAAUUCCCCAAACUCAGGGAUUCCUCCCAGAAAAUACCUGCCAGGAGGUGGCUGAAUGAAGUAAAAGAGGGGAUGGGACCCCCAGAUGUCAUUGGAACGGGUCCCACUCCUUCUUUCUAAUCCCCGGGAUGGAGCCAAGGCGGUUUGGGCUGGAGCAGCACUGGACUCUUGGCCCAACCUUGGCAUGUCCCAUGAGCCCCCUCCUCAAAUUUCCUUGGCUGCCUAGAAGGGUCCCAGUGCCUUUUGGGGUUUGCUGAUUGCCGUGUCUGGUUUCAGGUGCCUCCCAAGGAGUCCCCAUUGUGGGAUGACAUGGCGGGGACACACGGGGGUCCGCAUUCCUGAUCCACUCUGGGGCCUAUUCUGCCCUGCCCCCCAGCAAUCACAGUCCCUUUCUGAUCCAUCCCUUCCACCCCUUCCCCCAUGUGAAAAAUGCGAAAUGAUUAAUUCAUGUUCUUAUAGUUAAUGAAAUAUUAUUGAAAACUAUAAAACUGUAUAUAUAUGUGUGUUCUAUGAAAAUGUAAGUUUCAGGACACCCUGUAACAUUUUGUUAAACCAAAAUUAUGAAAAAGCAGGCGCCACCCCAGAAACUCACAUUCAGAAAUAGACAAAAGGUUUACCGGAAACCGGCAGUCUCCUGGAGCACCGGGAGGAGACCCAUCAAGAUAAGGCGGCAGAACCAUCAACGGUUCCUGACUACUCCCUCUCUGAUCAUCAAGCAUCAUCAUCCAUAUCUCGACCAUUCAUCAGCCAUAAGGAUCUAUAGAAAUUGGACAUUAACAUAUGAACUGAGAGAAAGAACUCUUUCCAGCCUGGUCGGAGACACCCUUGAAUUUGAAUAGCUAGCCAGGAAACAAAGGAAAUAUGGGGAAAUAUUGCUGAGGGCAGAAUAAAGUGUAUAAAACCUUAGCCUCGAACCGGGCAAAUUUGUGAACCGAAGGGGAGGCAGCAGACGGCCAUGUUCUGUGUCUUACGGUUCACCCUUGGCAUUUUCCCGGGAAAAAGACUGUCAAGUAUCUCCGCUGUUGGUGGGUUUACCGAAAUUCUCUAAUUCGAUCUUUGUUAAUAAACCAAAUUAUUAUUUUAAUUAGAA
This is a long non-coding RNA of Prinia subflava (tawny-flanked prinia), 4537 nucleotides long. RefSeq lists it as uncharacterized. The transcript has 2 exons. The record is from RefSeq and is a predicted model, not a curated record. NCBI's taxonomy places the organism in Eukaryota, Metazoa, Chordata, Aves, Passeriformes, Cisticolidae.